This is a long non-coding RNA of Portunus trituberculatus (swimming crab), 1600 nucleotides long. RefSeq lists it as uncharacterized. Lineage: Eukaryota; Metazoa; Arthropoda; Malacostraca; Decapoda; Portunidae. The record is from RefSeq and is a predicted model, not a curated record. The transcript is spliced from 3 exons.
UUUCCAUUAUAUCAUCAUAAAUAUUACGAUGAAUAUUUUCUAGGCCGUACAUACAUGACAACCUCCCACGAUUAAUGCAAUCCAAAGCCAGACUUUCCUCAGACGCGGAGAGGCAAGCAUCCCAGUCUUUGAAUAAGCGAUGUAGUCUGCAUAAGUAGAGGUGGAGGAAGUGUGUGACGGAGGAUAUGAAUUUAUUGGGAAUAGAAGAACAUUGGCACAAGAUCACCACUUGUGAAAAGCAGUCAUCGCCCGUCCAAUCUCAUCCUAAAUGGGAAAAUGCGAAUGUUAAACGAAAAUGAUGACAAUGAUGAUAUAUGACGGUCUGAAGAGGAAGGUUUACAUUUAUCUAUUUCUUUUGGCGAAUCUCGGACCUGCACGGGAACUGGCAGCUAGUUGGGUCUUUUUAUUUUUUACUCUUUUUGCUGCUCUUGGCCAGUUUUACCCUCUUACAUAAAAGAAAAAAAUUGCAUUACUGUCGCCUCAGACGACUCGAGUCUUCUUACUCCUAGCGUGGCUGUCUCAGUCUUACCUUUCCUUACACCACCCUCCCUCCUCCAACAUCAUUACUUCUUUCCCUCUCCCUUACCUCCACCACCCUUCCUCUGCCAUCGUUACACCAUCCCCUCCCUCUCCCUCCCUCCUGUGUGUAGUUUAGCUAGGUUUGCCGGUCACGCGGUAUUAUUUCAUGAGGAUCACACUGGGUUCCUUUCUAGCCCAUGAGGGCCUCUUCUCGUGUAGUCCUUGUUAAGUUGUCACCACACACACACACACACACACACACACACACACACGGCAGGUGUCAUUACAAGCAGUGCCUGCGCUCACUGCUCGAGGCGAGUGUUUCGGAGCCUCGCGAUGUCUCGCACACCAGCGAGCCCUCAAUGGCAGACUCUGCCACCAUGAGGCUUGACACUGCAUAAAGUGUUCAUGCUCAUGAUAAAACAGGUCCAAUUAUUGCUAGACAAGUAUAUACUAUGCAUUCAUCAGCAUGUAAUGGUGACACGAACGUGGAGGUGUGGACCAAUGAUGCGGAGGCUGGGCGGCAGGAGAGCCAAUCACUGGCCGCGUAUCAUUACGGCUAGGGGAAAGAGCUGUGUCACGUCACGUCAGUCAGUCCAUCGAGUCCAGUGUUAGUGGUACGUGUGUGCGUUGUCGGUGUUGCGAUGGAAGGAAGUGAUCGCGGUUUAUCUCCGUCAUCAGGCAUCACCCGCCGCCCAGGUGUCUUUCAGAAGGAGAAAAAGGCCAGCCACACUGACAGAGCAAGACGUGCGUUGACCUGUGAUCCAGGAGCCGGCUGCCAGUGAAGAGGGUUGCUGUGAGGGGCUGCAGUGGGGACAGGUCACUCCUGCUGACCCCAUCCCUGCUGGGGUGGAGGCACAGCAGGUGCUAAGGAGGCUUGUGGCAGCCGGUGGAGCACACACUCACUGGUCGUGUCUAUGUGUUUGCCUUUCCUGUGGGAGAAAUUACAACACACCCACAAAGUACCUGCUGUGUGGAUGGUUCGGAUGGAAUGGCUGACCCACUCCUCGCCACGGGCCUCCUGGAAGCGGAUGGCUUUGUUGAGCUGCACGGCAGACUGGUAGGGUGGUCAGAGUGUGCU